GCGCGGCGGUGAGGCGGUCCCUCCCGCUCCGGUCUCGCUGAGGUGAGGGAUUUUUGCGCGGGCGCGCUCCCCCGCUGAAGUGACGGUGUGGGGCUGCGCGCACCGCGCUGGGGAGGUGCUGCUUGUGUAGGGCGGCUGGAGGUAGAGCCGAAGUGAGGCCAGCAGAGCUCCAAGCCAGUGACCUUUUCGCUCUGCACUGAAGAGCAUCUGCUGACUGUGAUCAGGUGGUGCUUAGCCACAGUGGCUUGUGGCUGCUCUGACUGUUGUGUGAGUCUCUUCACGGAUUAGAUCAGCUGACAGAAACAAGGAACCCACAUGGAAACCAGAAGGUGACUUUGCAACAAUGAGGUGCCUCACCCCCUCGCUGCUCAGAAGGUUCUGGGGACUUUUGCCUCAGUAUGUGCCAGCAGGACCUAGUCCAAGUCCUGUCAUCGGUCCCAAGCAGUCAUCUUUGAGGCAGAGCUGCAGUACAAGACCUGGGCCGGUGACUGCCCCUGCUGUGGCCAGGUACUGGCAAGAGGUGUUUGAGAAGAAUGGGAUCCCUGAAGCACGAGAAUCCAGUGAAUAUAUUGUGUCAUUUGUCUUGGGAGCAAAAACAUUUCAGAGCUUGGAUUCCGAAAAACUUCACACUCCUAUUACAGCAAUGCAGCAGGAACAGAUCCAGCAGCUGUGCUGCAAGCGACUAGAAAGAAUGCCAGUGCAGUAUGUGCUUGGUGAGUGGGACUUUCAGGACCUGACUUUGAAGAUGAGGCCUCCAGUAUUUAUUCCUCGUCCUGAAACAGAGGAUCUCAUCUCUUUUGUUGUGGAGGAAGAAUCUCGGAAAUGUGAGGAGAAGAAUUCAGCCUCCUCGGCUGCUGUCCCACCUCCUGUGAUCCUGGAGAUUGGCUGUGGCUCUGGAGCAAUUGCUCUGAGUCUCUUGUGCAAGAUACCACAGAGCCGGGUGAUAGCUGUGGAUAAAGAAGAGGCUGCUGUGGAUCUCACCAGGGAGAACGUCCAUAGGCUGCAACUUCAAGACAGGAUCCACAUCCUCCACCAUAACGUUUCAUAUGGUUCUGCCAAACAGCUGCUACCUUGGGGCCCAAUGGACUUCAUAGUCAGUAACCCUCCGUAUGUCUUCCAUGAAGACAUGGCUUCCCUGGAUGCAGAGAUCAUCCGCUAUGAGGACCUUGAUGCAUUGGAUGGGGGAGAUGAUGGGAUGAAAGUCAUCAAGACAAUUCUGACUUUGGCUCCUUCUCUUCUGAAGGAUUCUGGGAGUGUGUUUCUGGAAGUUGAUCCCAGACACCCAGAUAUGGUGGAGGAUUGGCUACGUGCACAUCCUGACUUGCUACUCACCCUUCAUGCUAUUCACAAGGACUUCUGUGGCAAACCUAGGUUUCUGCACAUCCAAAAGCAAAGCAGAUGACAGCUGUACCAGAGACAAUGUCCUUUCUUGCAGUAAGCUUUUUGCUGGUAAGGCUUUGAAAUGUGAGACUUUACAAAAGAGGCCAGAAUCACUGCUCCAGUUUCAGAGAUGGAGAAGUCAAAAAGCUAGCCAGAAAAGGAAAGAAAGAAACAAACCAAAGGAUCUGGACCAGUCCGAAUGGAAGCAUUUGCUGGGCCACGGGAGGUGAGCGUGGAAGGGAGAAGGGAGAAGUAGUGUCCAGGCAGUGACUUGUGCAGUCUGAGCGUGCAGGGAAUGUGCUGUCAGGCACUACGUCCAUGCUGAACUUAGAGUGCAUAGCCAGAAACAAUGGGUCCUGCAUCAGCAAAUAUGUCGUCUGUUUGGAGGGCCAAGGCAGAUUCAGAGGGCUAAUACAUCUAGUCCGUUUCCCCCUUGUCCUGUACUGCACUCAUUCACUUUCUAAUUUUUAAGCCUUGGCCCUGCUUUUUCACAGGUACCUGAACUUUUUCUGAUGCACCAGUGCCCAGCUCACUGCACUUCGAUCCUCUCCUCACCCUCUGUGUCUUUUUCAGUUCUGCUCAUACACUGGCCUUUUACCCCAUCCCACCACUCUGCUGGCCCCAGGAGUUUGCCUGUCCUGUACACUUUGUGCAUGAAGUGGUGAGCCCUCAUUGGACCGUGCUACCUGCUCUGGUUCAUCACAGUAGAGGAAAUGGAUGGAAAGGGAGAAAAAAAGUUCAUUUAGAAUGUACUUAAUCCUAGGUUUGGAAAUCAAGUUUCAGCCCAGCUGAUUCUGGCAAUGGUGAAUACGGUUUGUGGUCAGAGGUAUGCUGUGGUGGUUUGUUUCUUUUUAGUAAAUAAUAACAAUUAUACACUAGCGUCUUUAGCGAAGUUUGUCAGGCUUAGGUCUUUGAAUUUGAUUUCUGAAAUGUUUUGUCUUAGCAUUGACAGUAUUUAUGAAACCUAGAGCUAAGAAGCACAGCGUAUGUCUGCAGGAUACUUUAGAGGCUGGGUGAUGUGCUGGCUCAUGAGGGUAUUAAAGAGCACCAUGUUGCAUUUUUGUAGGGGAAGGCUGCUUCCAGCAGCAGGCUGGAGGUAGCUGCCCCUCUGAGAGCACUGCUGGCUGAGCUGCAGUGUGCAGCCACCUUUCGUCAUGGCAAGCACUUGUUGGAGCCCUGAGCUGUAGGCUUUCUCUGAGAGAUGGACUCUUGGUCUAAUCCAGUAGGACAAGUGUUAAAUUCCUAUAUUAUAGCAAAAACAAUAACAAAAAUGCUUGCAUUUCUCUGGGCUUGCACUGCAUAGCGAUUACGUGUCUCUGGAAAAUCACGUGGUGCUGCUGACCUUCUCAUAAAGACAAGAAUGAAGAAAAAUUGUUCUUCCUUCCAAGAGGCGGAAUUUGUCAGACCCGCAUCUGAGGGAAUGUGCUGCUGUAGUACAAUGUGUUCCUCAGUGCUCUGCACACAUUGGCCCGGGCUCCUUUUGGUACACAAGCACUGCAAAGCUCUUUGGAUGUGGUAGCUGCAAGAACCUCAGAUACUCCCAGAGCCCUUGCUAAAGUACCGACUGUGUCUGCUGCCUGUGCCUGUGAGCGUGAGGCUGUGCUGAUGCCAGCAAUCUCCUGUGCACGUCAGCUUUCUGCAGCCCUGCAGCUGCUCCCUUGAGGCACAGAAAGGCUGACGCUUUACAGAAUCACUAUCAAAACGCACUUAAUUUUCUGGCAUCUCAGUGAGUCUUUGGAACUGUAUUGAAACUGUUUUUUUUUUUUUCUGAAGUGAUGCUUUCAGAGGGGCCUUGUUUUCCUGCAGGACCUUGAAGAGUGUGAUUCAGGUGUGUAUUUCUGGAGAGUGACCUGGUGCAAAGUGCCUACCAGGAUCUUGCUGGCCUUCUGAGUUGGGGCUGGGGAAAGCUUGGUGUGUGGCAGAGCCCUGCAGAUGGUGCUGUGUUCCUAGCCAGCUGUGUCCAUGGGGAACAGGCUUUCUGAGUGCUGGUGCAUGGCAGGGCGCAGCCCCCAGCUCCACAGAGGACUCAGUGGAUAGGGCUGCAAAAUGGGGCUUUAACUCCAUUCCUGUGCUGCAGUACAGGGCUUGUGUUGGGAGGCUGGGAGGGGUCCUUGUGGCUGUGAUGCAGGACUGGAGUUGUAGCUGUGCUGGUAAUGGGAGGCCUGAAUCCCCCUCAGGGCUGCACUGAUCCAUAGUUUUGGACAGUCUGUUUUUGUUCUGGUGUAACUUGCAAGUGUACAUCCUGAAGUGCAAGUGCCACCCCUGCUUUCAUGUUCUACUCAGGAUGUGAAGUGAACGGACUUCCUAAAUACCUCAGAGAGUCUAAGAAAUGUGCAGCAGGGAUGAGACCCGUUUCCAGGUGCAGAGCUGGUGGUCGCAGGGGACACUCAGCCAAGGUGGCCCAGGAAGCCUGCAGGGAGCCAGAUGACUGAAUGCAUGUGGGUUAUGUGCCAGCACCCAGUUCUGUGAUAUGGGGCCAUAGAGUACAAUGGAUUGGAAGAGAGCUCACCAGUCAUCUAGCAUAAUUUCCUUGUCCAAGUGAGGAUCAACUUGGCUUACAUCAUUCAUGUUAGCCUAACUUGACCUAAAAGGCUCCUGGGGAUGAUUGGGAUUUUUGCACGCAGUCUGUUCUGAUGCUUCUUUGUUGUUACAGCAGGAAAGUUGUCCUUAGUGCCUCGUCAUCCUUGCUUCCAUUGAAGCUGGGUACUGCUUUUCUUGUCCUGAGGAGCAGAAUUUGCUCUUUCCUCAGAGCAGCUUCCCUGUAUUAGUCUGUUCCCAUGCUUCCUCACAGUCCUCAUUUCUGAGGAAACACCAACGUGGUGUUUUUGUGGAUCUCUUGCACACCCUUCCUUCCCUGCUGGAAAGAGGGACAGAGCAUCCUGAGCGGUAGUGUGCUUCAGAUGUGCUGCAGGGAGAUGCUUGUGCUUGUGGUGAUUGAAACAAUAGAGCAGCUGCAGCUUCUGUUAUUGUGGGGAGAAGUUAUUUCCCAAGCAGUGGAGACCAGGCCAAAACUUGCAUUAAUGUUUUGUUUGUCUGGGCAAGUUUUCAAAAGCUGUAUUUAAAGUUUUUGUUUAGAAACUUGUUUUCUUUUGCUCAGGGUUGCAUCCAGAGGGACAAACACUCAGUGGGAGAAGGCUUCUUUCUCACAGUUGAGAUGGUGAUGAGAUACCAAGAGAGACUUUGUCAAGUUUCUCCAGCCUACUGCCUUUUCCACAAAUGUUUUAAUGUGCUUUUAGUUAAGUGUGUGGGCUUUAAGAUGUUCUCCCUCCCUGUGGAGGGUCAUCUUACAGCCUUUCUCUGCUGCUUUUGCCUGGCAGCUGCUCACAAGGCUCAGCAUGAUCUGUACAGUGCCUGGUGAGGACAGCAGGCUAUUUACAUAGUACUAUCCCUUUGCACUGGUUUCGUGGCCAAAUCACACUUGUCAUUCAGUUGCUGAGAUUUGGGACAGGUUGCAUAAGCUACUGUAACAUCAAGGAUGUUCUAACAGCAUGCAGUAGUUGCAGAAUCAGACCUGUAACCAGCUCUCUUGCCUUGUGGUUGCCUUUUUAUGCCAGUUGAGCUGAGGAUGACAAGCCCAGGGUUCAGAGCCUGCACCUAACUGUUGCCAGCGUUUGCACCUCAGACUGCUCCUGUAGUUGUGCCUGUGAGCAGGAGGUGGUGCCUUGCAGGAUGCUGACCUGUGUGGUCUCUGCCCCUUGCCAGUUUGGUAUCACCCGUUACUACCGUGGUGAAUCUGGCAGACCAGCCUUCUGAAGGCAGAAUAAGUGUAUGAGCGGUUUGCCAGAUUGCCCGCUCACUUCAGUUUGUGUUUUUGAUCCCUUCUGAAGAAGGUGCGUAUGGAUCGUGUUAGCCUCAAGGUAGAAAGAAUGGAAAAGAAUGGAGCAGGCUGAGGAGCAUGCUGGUAGUGAGUGAUGAGAUCACUCUGAUCUUGUGCUCUGUGCACGCAGCUCCAGGGCUGGACCUGUGCUCAGACCUUUGGGCAAAAUGGUUUGUGCAAAUGUAUUGGGAGCACUUGCAAAAUCAAUUGUAUUUAAGGGAUUGCCUCUUUGAGUAAACUGCUUUAAGUUGCUUUCUCUUACACCAGAAGAAAGAGAAAUCCAUGUGCUGGAGGAUUUCAGUGCAGGGACAGAGGCAAGUUGAGAGGACAGAUGUGGAGGAACCUGGUGCCAUCUGUUCUUGCCCGCGAGCAAGGCUCAAGUAAUCCCAGCUCUGCCCAAAUACAGGUGUUGCCUGCAUUCUCUUCUGUCUGCUGUUCCCUGGUCAGAGGCACACAAACUGUUGUUCCACUCUGCUCCCUUUGGGAAGUGUAACACCAUUUGCUAGAAACUUGCGGCUGGUUUGGGCCUAUGCUGGGAUUUGCCAGACCUGGAUUGGGAUUCCUGCUGUGUGACCUUGGGCGCAUUAUUGCUUACUCUGCCUCCUGCUGCUAUGGUUGGGAUAAAUAUCACUUUAUGAUCUCAGAAUAUUUUAAGAGUGCCUCAUAUAGUGAGUGUGAGGUAGUCGGUUACUGUAGAAAGGUCUGUGACUGUCCUGUGGUAUUCAUCUCAAUCAUACCCAGACAGAGAAUGAGCCAACAGCACCAUGCUACAGCAUGACAGAUCAGGUUUGUUUUGCUUAUUUUCAGUGAUUCAGUUAUUGUUGUGCAAAACCAAAGGAUAUGGGAGUAAGUCAAAGUACCGUUGCUAGAUUUUCCACAAGCGUGUCUCUGAGCACGAUGAGAGCAUGACCCAGGCAAACCAGCCUGCUGCAGGGUGCUGAGAAAGUUAGGACUGCAUCCUGUUCACAACAGCCAAAGGUGCUUUUGCAGUACAGGAGGAUGAAAUACAUCGUUGCUGCAGUGCUGCCACAUGUUGUGGUCACCAUGGUUUGUCUACCUUACGUGGUUCAUGUCAGAACUGUAAUUUUAAAUAGCAGCUUCCUAGCUUUUAAGGUCUUUAGCUUCAUCUUCUCUUUUCACCAGCAAACCUGAACAGUCACUUUUCUUUGUCUUGCAUGCUCAUACGAUUUUGUUGAGAAUGGGCAUCAACAAGAAACUAGUUUCAGUUGCAGUGUUACCACCAUAAACAUGGCUACAUGAGCAAAGUUACUGCAGGAUAUAAAGCCUUAGAACAAGCAUGCAAACAAACUGAUGCCUGGGGAGGAAAGUACCUCAUCCCCAUUAAGUAUCUGCUCUGGUUUCAGCUUGUUUAAGUAGUCUCAGCGUUCAUUCUUUUUUCUGUGGCAGCUGAAGUAUUCUGAGAUCAUCCUGCCCAUGGCACGGAGCAUCGGGAAACAGGGAUUCUCAGUUCCCAGGCUGGAACUGCAGCAUGGCAAAGAAUUUGCAGUAUGGCAAAGAAGAGUCUGCCAUCCAAACAUCCAGAGCCGAUGCAAAUGGCAAAGGAAAGAGCUCAACUGCUCUUAAUGAUGCUUCUGGCAACCACACUGGACUUGUUUCUCACUUCACUGCUUCUUAUCCUCUCUUAAACAGUAUAACCAUCGCAGCUGUCAGCUGGGAGGAUGAUAGUGCCUCAAGAGUAGGAAGCAGUUAUUGCUGUUCCUUUCUCUUUGCAUGAAGAAAAGAGGGGAGAAUGUGGCCAGAGAAGUGUUUGAUUUGAGGAGCCUCAACCUUGAGUGUAGCAUGAGGGCGACUUUCAGUUUGCAUCACUUGCAGAGUCCGUGCUAAAUAAUGCAAGACCUGGGCAUGCAAAAAUGCUGGGUGUGAUGGAGGAGGAGGAGGGAGUGGUAACCAAACAAUUCUGUGAGAUCCAUCUAUAGGAGAUAAGAUCCUUAAGAGAGAGUGUGGUAAAACAAAGCUGAGUCUUACAGGAGGGAUGGCCUGUGCUGCCAAGUUCCUGCUUUGCAACUCUGAAAUGAAGAGCACAGUUGGGGAGCUGAGUGUCCAUAAAGUACAGGCUUUGUUCAGGAGGCAAACUGAGCAUCUCUUCUUUAAUGUGUGCAUGUCAGAGGGUGAAUGGAGCCCCUCCUGCAGUGUGGGUGGCUUUGCAGCGGCCCACGGGGGCAACAGUGAGCAACAGUGCAACAGUGAUGAACUGAGUACAGCACCCUGAGGAGCCUCGUUCCAUUAGAAGCAGAGCACUGCUCUACAUGUGGCACAAAGAUGCUGCUUGCCCAUGGUCCUGUAAAUACUGUUUGCAGCGCUAGGUGUGAGUGUAUAGGAGACAAGUGGGUUUUAGUGGGAUUUCUUGAGCAAUUCUUAUGUGAAAGAUUUGGAUUUCUACUUGGUGGUAGCUGAUGUACUUUGAGCUGCCUACCUGCUGCUUUCUUCCCAACGGUUGGCUUGUCUCCUAUGUUUGUAUAUGUGCUACAGCAUGGGCACAGUGUGCUAUGAAGUGCCUGCUGCAGUGGAGUCCUGAACCUAGCAGCCUGAGCUGCUACGAAAGCAGCUUUGCCCAGUGGAGUGCCUUCUGAUGGCAAAAUCCUCACUGUUGGUCUGAAAUACUCAUAGGUUUGUGUUGGGCUUUGAUGUUCCAGCUGUAAAUCCAGAGUGGGCAGCUACAAAUCUGACCUCAGUGAAGUUGCCCUGCAUGCUCCAGCUGGGCUGAAGUUGGCCCACCUGGUGCUAUGCAGUAUUUGUGUUCCAUGAAACAAGGAUCCCCUCACUGAUUUAAGCCUUUCCAGGGACUUGAGGUUGUUAAGCUGGUAAGACUUUCCUCCUUUUCCACAUUGCUCUGCCACUCAUUGAGGAUGACCUUCUCACCAUCCCUUUUGACUUUGAGCUUGCUGCUUCUCUCAAGUCCUCCUCUGACCCUUUGCAAGCCAAGCACAGCAUGUUUGUAUUGCUGUAGUGCUUAAAAGCUGUUCUCACAGGUUGUUCCAUCUCUCUCUAAGCUUUCAGUACUCAUUUCUCCUGCCAGUGCCUUGUGUAACUCUCCCUAUGCCAACACUGUUGGCUCCAUGGGUGAAUUUCCUUAUGCUAGAUAAUUUGGAAUAAGCUUGUGACAGAAGAAUUCCACUCUAAAAUGCACUUUACUCCUGCAUCGCCUUUCAUCUGAUUUUGUGGCUGAUGGGGUUUGCUGGAGUGAAAGUCAUGCUGCUAGCAUGUGUUUUGUUUGCAGAUUAAGGCUAUCCUGCACCCAGACAGGACUCUUUCAUUUAAUGUGUAUGGGCAGGGGGCACUCAGGCUGCAAGCAGGUUUAGUACUUCAGCUUCCAGGUCAGUGAGUUUUUUGUCUCAUUUGUGUCAGCAAACAGCAGCCCUUUGUUCAGCAUCAUAACCUUUUCUGCCUCAGCGACACGCUCACGCACACAUAUGUGAUGCAGAUCCUGAAUCGUGCAAUAAACUCCACGGAUAAGUUCCAUAAGGCCAGCAAAGACAUCAUCUGUCUUACUUCAAGGGUCAACUGCGUGCCUUACUGACCAGUGUUGAAGCCAAGAUUGUGGAGGCAGUUAAUUAUUCAUUUGUUUUGGCUUUUCCAUCCAUCAUUGCCUAUGUGGGAAGGAAAAGGGGAAUAGAUAGUGAGUGAAGUGUUUGUCUUUGACCUGGUUGCCUUUGUCGCUUGUAAAAAUCAGGAUAAAUAAAUUAGUUAAGUAUUAUUUAAUUUAGCCACUGAGUAACAUUGUUACUAAGAAGAGCCAGGAUGAGGACACCAGGAUAGGUCAUGGGCACUAAAAUUGAAAGAUGAACGCAUCUGGCUGUUGCUGGUACCCUGAUGGCACAGGAACUGCUUGCAGCCCCAGGUCUUUGACAGCUGGUGCCUGCUAGCACCCUCCUCUUCUCCUGCAGAGCUUGGAAAAGCAAGAAGCACCUGGGAGGCACCAUCCUGCUGCUGAUGGUGUGCCCAUUCUCAUGGAGCCCUCUAGGAGAUAUCUCAGUGCUGAAGAAAGCUAUGUGGGCCCCUCGAGCAUCCCAGUGUUUGUCCUGCACAGGAGCAUGACGCUUUUCCUUCAGGAGCUGACCUGCUGCUUUUCUGGCCAAAGAGGCAAGGCAGCCCCUUUUUCUGUGCUCUUCUGACCCAGCAGUGCCUUACUCCUCCACCAAAACUGCACUCAGUCCUGGUGCGCUCACACCUGGCUGGGCCUGCCCUCCUGCAUCCUUGCUGUUUGUGCUGUGGGGCCUUGCAGAAUUCCCUCCAUCCUGAUCCUCUUGUGAUUUGUCCCUAACAAAAAAGCCCUGCUCGGUCUUCUCAGAAUUACCACACAUUGCCCUAACUCAGAACUGCUAUUGCCUGGCAAGUUCUGACAUUGUGAAGCUUGCUUUUCUUUUUUUUUCCUUUCUUUAAUCAGAAUUAAUUUGUUUAUUUUUUAGAUUUCCCACGAGAACGCUAUGUCCCAGAUUUUGAUUUUAGAAAUGCUUUGCUCUGUGAUUUCUGAAUUUUCAUUUUGAAUUAUAUCCAUUUUAAGUUGUUGUACUACUUACGGACUGCUGAUUUGCGAAGUAUACACUAAUAGUCAUAGUAUGUGUGCUGUAUAGGAAAACAUUCUUUUGACUGAUAAGAUCAGCUGCUACUUAGUUUGGAUUGAAACUUCUUAUCUUAUUCCCUAGAACAGGAAGUCCAUUGUUUGCAAAGUAAUGAAAGCCUGACAAUGCCAUUAUAACACUCAGGAGCGCCUUAAUCUAAGGCGGCAGGUAAUAUUUUGUUCUCUAGUAUGAUGCAAUUCAUCUAAUCAUCUUAAAAAAGAUGAAAUAUUUCACAGCUACUGUCAUGUUAGGGCAAGGCAGUAAUGAUAUAUGUGGUAUAAAAACCUCUAGGAUAAAACGUGCAAUUUGGAAGUUCUGAAAUAGAGCUUCUAAGCUGCCAGAAGCAGAGCUGUUCCAAAUAGCUUUGGCAAGAACGUUUUUAUCAAUGUUAUAAAAUCAAACAAAUAUCUUCUUAAAAGAAGCUUUUCCCAACAGAAUGCUCUGGAGGUGCUUUUUUACUAGUUGCCUCUCUGUCGCUGUGAAGGUAGUGAGUAUUUGUUAUGCUUCUUUGCACUGUGAGUACAGAAGACUUAGCUUUCUCAUCAGGACUCAAACCCAAGUCUCCAUAUUGAAAGUCCUAAAAAUUCCUUCUUUGCACGAGCUACUCAUCACUGGCUCCCACACAGGAGCAUGCUGUUCAAGCAGCUGCCAUCUUUGCUGCCUCUCACACGGGGAAAGGACAACGUGCACUUGCUGCUGGGCCCCUGCCAUCCCUCUGCUCCCUCUGCACUGGGGAAAUGGCAGAUGUAGUCAGGCCUCUUUCUCUUUUCCAAGGUGCUGCCCAAACAAGCAAUACAAAUGUGUUCAGUAAAACAGGGAAGGCCGGAGCAGGGGUGAUAGCAUAUGUUAACUUGGAGGCUGAAGCAUUAUCAGCUCAGUAGUUUCCUUUCCUGUCGCACUUUGCAUUGUGAUGUGAUGCGUAGCGGGUGAGCUUCUGUUGCUCAUGUGGAGGAGUGUUUCUCUGGUUGCCUUUCUGCAGUCAUCACUGCAGACAGCAGUCGGAGGCCACAGGUUGGGAAACAAAAUUGUAGCGUGGCUCACAGCACAGGUGAAAACUUUAUCAAUCUCAAAUGAAAUACAUGAGGUUGUUAUGCCACAUAGUUAAAACAAACUGAUACUGUAGAGACAGAUUACUUGUUUGUUUUAAGCAAACAUGUUUGCUUUGGGACUAGCAUCCACAGUGGAUGAGCAGUUCUGUGCUGUGGCAAGGUGAAGGAUCACAGUGACAAUGCAGAUUUUUCAUGGCAGUCCAUACACAAUCCGGACGUCAAUAGUUACAGGAUAUAAAGUAUUCAGCAGAGAAGCAGGAGAUGGUUAGCAGUAUGCUGCCCAAACUGGUCUGCCUGUAGCAAGAUCAAGCUGCCAUGUUCACCCACAAUGCACCAAUUUAAAGACUACUUUUAUUUUUAUUAUUGGUAUCAUUGAAAAAAACCCAUACCUAAACCAGCCCAGAGAAUCUGCCUGUUAUGCUUUGCAGCCUUAAGGCUAUUAUUACUGCAAGGAUCUGGGAGCAGCACAUGAGUGUAGGGUAUGAGGGCACUUCUUGAAACUGUGCCACUGAAAUAGCACUGGGCAAGUUCCUAUGAGUGUGCUCAUCUGAUUUUUAUGUGCACAAGACAACAAGAUGUCGGCAUUUGCCUCAGUUCGCAGAACUAGAUUGAGGUUUGGAGAACGGAGGAAUUCUUUGUUCCCUAAGGUAAGGUCUGGGUUUAGCUACAUUCAAAUUGAUUCUUUAUGCAGGUAUGAGAGUGCCUUUGCUUGUUAUUAAUCUGUAUUCUGUGUGCCAUUUUUGCUGUCUGAGUUUGUGCUCAAAGCGAGCCUUGGAAAGACCAGGCUAAAGGCUGUGAUCCAAGAGACAUUGUAGCUCAGGUUGCAGUACCAGAAGCUGCAGGGAAGCCUCAGGGUAAUGAAGUCAGCAGGAAUUUUUUGCCCGUGAGUAGGGAGCUGGUGAUUCAUUCAUAGGAAUGCCUGAGGAGAAGUGGCCCACAUGAAGAAAAGAACGUCCCCGUUGUUCAUGGCAACUAGGGAGCUUCAGUGGAUGUAUCUGGCCAUUUGGGAUGGGUGGUUCAGCUGCAUCUUGGAGCUUUGGAGUCUGGUUAAAGGCUGUGUAGUUCUGAGUAGGACAGAGGUCUUAGGUUUGGAGCCCUGAUGGAGCUUCAGUCCUGGCGCUGCUGGCUGACUUAAGGAAGGGGCAGGCAAUCGGCAGUGAGCAGAAAAGCCUACCAGCAGAGAAAGAAGGCCAAGGAAGAAUGGGAUCAGGGGAAUCUUCUGUGAGUCUGCUGGCUUCAAAGUCAGGGAGCAGAGCAGUACAACUAGUCCACAGUGUGGGAGCCCUGUGUGAGCACAGAGAGGCCGGGACUGAGUGUGGGCAGCAGCUGGGGGCCAUGUGUGUCCUCAGCCCACACAGAAACCAUCUGCCUGAGAUGCCUGCAGGGGAGAGAGCAGGGAAAGAGCUGGGUGCUAUGGAGGCAGCUGGGCAGCAGGGGAACUUAGAUACUGAUAAGAGUAAGUAUGGUGGAGUAUUGGGGUGGAGGAGUAUUGGGGCCGAUAUGUUUGCAGGGAUAGUUUCAAGGAGACUGUCCUGGUACAAACAGGAAGGUUUAAGACCAAGAUUCAAGAGUGCCAGGAACACUGUGUAUGGUUCUGUCAGAAAAGAAUGCUUACAUAGGAGCAGGUGCAGAACAGGGCUCAGAGGUUGAGUAAGGGCCAGAAAGCUCAGCAGAUGAGAGAAAACUAAAAGAGAUCAGUUUGUUUUGCUUAGCAAAACAAAGACUGGAAGAGGAAUGUGAUGUCUGUCUGUAAACACUUCAUUGCAAAGUAAAUACUAGAGGGGAAGGAGAGGUCUUUUAUAAUAAAGAUCAAUACUGGCACAAGGACAAAUUGGUACAAAUUUGCUAUUAAUAAACUUAGCCUGAAAAUUAGAUUUUGAGCCAUUAGAGGAGUGAGAUUCAAGAGCAGUGUCUCAAAAGGAGAAAUGGAAACUGAAGGAACCUGAAAAGCCUGCAGGAGCAAAGAAGUCAGAGAGAAAAUUAAACCUGUGACGCAUUCUCAUUCUGUUUUAUGCAUGCCAGUGCUAUAGACGGCCCAAUCCCAAGGGCUGGGCAGGAGAGCAAGUUGCAGCAGUCAGCAGCCGUAAUGGAGAAUCAACAGCCAAGUUACAAGUCAACUGCAGGACAAGAGGAGUUUCAGGGUAGCUGAGCUGUGCAGAUAGGCAGCUUUGGCUGUAUCCCAGUGUUUACGUACAGAGACUUCACCAAAUUGACUAAGGGUAGGGCCGUCUGACAGCAUCUUGCAGAAGCAAAUCCUGUGGAGUAGGAUGCUAUUGUAAGCCUUCCCUCUCCACUUCCCAGCUGCUGCCAUUUUCUGUUCCCUUCUGGCACAGAUCUGUGUUAUGGCUGUAGUAGGGUAGCUUUGUCUCUGUGUGCAUCAUUCCUUAUAUGCUAUAUCUCUGUGUAUUUCUUUUCAUUAAAGAUUAAAAUAUGUUCUAGGGCAUGUUUGAGGAAUGCCUACAAUUUUGGUGGAAACUUUCCAAGACAGCUUUUAGACAUGAAAUUGCAAAAGGAAGUUUAGCAGAACUGCCUUUGUCAGAGGAGGUACUAGGACCCUUUUGCAAACCGUCUUGGUUAGGUUUGCUUGGAAUUGCAGGAAAAUGUUUUGGUUGAGAGAAAAUGAAGUCAUUUCUUGGGAUUGUUUUCACAACUGCUUUGUUGCCCUGGGUCAGAGCUGAGGACUGCUCACCUAUAAGGCAAGCUGAAGUUUUCAAGCUAGAAAAUGAGAGGAAAAUGCAAUUAGAUAAGCCAAAAAUCAACUAACUAAAACAAAAUCUUCAACCCUUGGUGGUAGUAUAUGGAAAGGUAUUCCUAGAAAUGGCAACAGUUUGGAAUUAAGAAUGCCAGAAGAAAACAAUAAUUAGAUGUUACUGGACAGAAGCGUGAAUGAAAGGAGUAGAAGAGCAUGCAGAGCAAGUAUCUUUUUCAGCUCAUAAUGAGACAUGAACAUUCAGGCAGAGAAACAAUUGACUUCCCCUUCCUUCUGGCUGCAGAUCUGGAGAGCGUUGGAAAGUGAUGGGCGAAAGCUGGAGGAGCACUGUUGCCUGUCUGGAAAAAGAAAAAGUUUCUCCUCUGUAAUUUGCCAUAGUAUCCAUGGUGUAGCUCUGCUGAGUUUGCUUUUGCAUAGCAUUUUACUGUUACUAAUAGACUUCAGUUAUUUGUUCCCCUGCAUGAUCCUGUGAUCCUGGCUUGGCAGUAAAACUAAGCAGAGCAUUGGAAGGCUGCCAUUAAUGGAUGGAGUCAAUGCAUUGGAAGGAUAUGAUGAGUGUAAAGAUUCCAUUUCCCAGAACCGGCUCAUCUGAUGAUGUGAAAUGUCACAGGUCUUUCAGAAGUGGCCGGUUUCCCUUGCCUGCAGCUCGUUAAAGCAUAUGGGUCUUAGAUUUUCCAGUGGUCAUGGACCAACAGGGAAUUUUGGUAAGGAGAAGGGAAACCUUGAAGGACUAACACAAGUGUGAUCUGCAGGUAACAGAUUUCCUUUCUCUCCUUUUCCUGCAAUAUCUGAAGAAUGAAGUUAGAGACUCCUUAUUUCAUAAAGACAAAAUUUUUGUGCUGGGUUGUCCAAAUCUGUUCAGUUACAAGUAUACCUCUGUUCCAGGCUGCCUGAGGAUGUUUGCCUGAGCAUUAUGAGGUAUUUGGAAGUAGCCUACCUAUAUGCUGAGUACCUCCACAAUCUUCUCUCUUGGUGAAUAGAGGAGAUUAAAGCAGCCAAGUGCUGCUCACUAAGAAAAUAAAAGACUCGAGAACCAUCAUAUGACUCUUCUUCUGAGAACUUCCGCACAUUCUCUUGUGCGUUCUGUAUCAGUUUAACAUAGGAGAUGGUCUGUACAGGGGAGAGUCCAAACCAACUUCUACUUCUUUCAUUUGCUUUCCUUCCUCUGCCAUUCUUCCUUUUCUUUCCCUCACAGCUUCAGUGAAACCAAAUACGUUUCAUCUUUCCCUUUACCUGUGCCGGCAGUGAGGGUCAUUGCUAAGAGGUGGUUCUUAAGGCUUCCCAGCUCUUGCUGCAUUGACUUCAGUCUGGCCAUAGGUAAUGAGAUGUGAAGUAUGUGAAUCCCACAGAGAGUGCAUGUGAGCUCAGACAGAAGGAAGUGGUUGAAUUUGGAAUGUGUUGCAGGAGAUGCAUUGAAAAAUCUAGCUAGAAUUUCCCUGUAAUGUGAAUGCUCCUAUUCAUGGUUGUCAAGAUUUUUCCAUUAAAAGAAUAAAAUCCCUGCAAUGCAUUACAGGUCUUUAUCUGAGAAGUUACGUUCCCUCCUCCUGGCUUAUUUAGGGCAUCAGAACAACUCUAAUAAAGGAGGCACCCCAUCUCCUGUCCUAACCUCCUAGCACCCACUCCUGUCUCCGCAAUUAGCUUGGCAGCUGGGGUUGUUCUUCGUGCCGAUGCGACAUGUUCACUUGCGCUGACGUGGUUUCCUGCUGCCGUGAAGGAAAAGGUUAAGGACUAAAAGCAGCUCUGCCAUCAUCCAUAAGGCAUGAGGAGCCUGGUGCCGCUCCUGCCCUGCGGAAUUCCAUUACCUGAUGGGCUGGACCUUGCGGCCUUCCCUGAAAGACAAUCCAGUUCCAGGAACUUAUAAAUACCCUUUGGUAAGGCGGAUGGGGAGCGCGGUAGGACAGAACGCGGUGUGUCCCUGUGAAUUGGUUCAGAAGCAAGUGCUGUGAGCCUGUUCUUGAACUAAAUUACAGUUGGUGCAAAAUAGAGUACGCCAACAAGCAAACCUUGGCAGUUUGGAUGUGGAAGGCCUCCCAUGCUCAGAAAUGUUCAACCACUGCUUGUGGUUUCAUUGUGUGGAUGCAACAGAUGAGGCAGAUUGUGUUAGAGGAUAGAUUAAUAAAAUGAGGAAGAAGGUCUGCAGGAAGUGGGGAUUACCCUCUUUCCCCUUCCCUGGCUAGGUUCUGUUUUCUACAGUCUUUGUAGAACAGUGUGAUGCCUCGCCAGCUAUUGAGGUAGAUUUAACAUUUAAUGUCCACAUCUCUAGCUAGGAUUAUGAAGAGUGCUACCUCUUUUUAACAUUUGAAUGCAAGGGUGUCUGCAUUCUGCUGCCCAAAGUUUAAAUUUAGACGUAGCUGAAUAUUUGGGGAAGAGGAAGAAGGGGAGGCUGAUGUGAUGCAGAAUUCUGUAUUCAAGGCAGUAGUGCCAGGCCUUGUUGAGGGAAUCCACGUGAAGGAGGCUAACAUCGUGCAGUGCCCUGAGAAGACCCAUACAAACCAGGAACUACACUGAUAUUGCUGCUACUUGUCCUCUUCAGUCUCUUUCUUCUGUGCUGCCACUGGCCAGGAGGAGCAAUGCUAAACUAUUCCUGCAAGUGGUGAGACAUGCGCUUUUCAUUUCACGGGGUCAGAGAAAGAGAAGGUGUGAAAGUGAAGUUUAGCUGCAAAUACACUGUAUCACGGUGAUAGGGGCUUCUCUUCUGACCUGUUAGUAUGAAGGUGUAGUGCUUCUCAUUUUAAGAACUUUUCCAGAGUGCUUUAUAGCUUUACCGUGCUUGACCCAUUCAGAUGGACACCUGUAGGAAGCAUCUGAAACGCAACACACAGUUUCACAACCUUGAUCCACAACACACCUGUAGUUUUCCACCUGAAAUCCUGAUGCUGCUGGGAGGAGCUGAUGGGAUCGUGACUCAUGGCAAGUGACUCAUGGCCUGCCUGCCCCACUGGGAUAAAAUCCCUGCAGAGAGGGUUUGAAGGAUCACCUGCUUUGAUCACACGGGCUCACAUGGAGGCUUGUCUCUAACCUUCUGUCUCUGUUGACAGACAUCUCAUUUGGAGGCGGCUGCUCACAUCCUGCUCACGGCCUUUGCAGCGAUGUUAGCAGAAGGAUCUCCAAGAGAUGAAUUUGUAACACGCUAUGGCCUAGGUUUAGGCUUAGUAUCAAGUAGUUUGGGUUCUAUGUUUUGUUCUCUGAAGUGACGUCAAAAACAUGACCAAGUUAUUUGGAAGUAUUCUGUUUCUAAAAUCUGUUGGGUUCUGCCACUGCUCUGUGCUCCUGCCUGGAGCACCCAGAAUAGUUUGGGCUCAGGCCUGGCUUGCAGUAGCGCAAAACUCUCUGGCAGAGUACAGGUGUCUCGAUGUGGGUAUGAAUUAAUUUUUCACUGCUCUGAGCUCCUUCCCUCACUGGCAGGGUAGCAGAGAGGCACAGUGACACAAGGAAGAUGCAAACGGAUCAGUUCUAAUUAGUACGACAGUGCUGAUGAGGCUGAAACUUGUGCUGACAAAAUGGGGCUGUAUUAACUUUGCACUGAUUUAUUCCAAAUUUAAGCACUGUUUGUUCCCAUGCAAGCAAGGAGGAAGUGGAGAAUUAUGCUUAAUAUUCAUUUUCAGCAUUGCAGUUAAUUGUGAAGUUCUCUGAAACAUGAAUAUAUUUCCUUUCCUAGCGUUUCCCCUUCUGUUAAACUAAAUCUAAGUUAAACCAUUGAUUUCCUAUCGGUUUUGACUAAAAAAGGCCAUUCUUCACAGUAACAUUGUCUUCCCUUUCUAGUUGAAUUGAUUGUGUAUUAAUGCUGAUUUGUAAUCUGAGCAGUGCAUUUCGUGUUGCAUUUAACUGUAACAUGGUUGUUGCAACUUCAAUCAUUCGGCGCUCUGUUUAUCUGUAUAAAGAUAUCUAUAGUAUCUGUUCCUCAGCCUGGUUCAGACUUGCAGGGGGUUUUUAUGUUUGUUAGACAGCUGAGAUGAGCAUUUUUAUUCUUUCUCAUAGGAGAUACAGAAGCAGAAGAUGAGAGCAUAUGAAAAAAUAAUAUGCUCAAGUACAAGUUUUUAAAUAAGAAAAAAUUGUACGAGGUUCACAGUAAUCUAGUUUACAGUAGGGCAUGAAAAUGGGCACUGUGAAAGCUUUGGUGAAGGAGUAGUCCCUGCAGACAAAAGUAAACAGGUGCAAGGGUUGUAUGGCAAGGUUACCAGGUUCUAUUCUGUGGCAGUGGAAUGGCAAUAUAUGCAUGCAGCUUCUUCUCAUUAAGUAACAUUGCUGGCUUUUUAGGCAAGCAUGUUUUGUUUAGAAGGGCAGUCCCAGGUUUCAAGUAUUACCUCAGAUACCUGUGAUGAAAUGAAGACCUUUAAGCUCCUUACUACCCGUCUUAGUAGAAAUUAAAUAUUGUGGCCCUAUAAACUUGAGCACUCAUUCUUAUGUGAAGUGAGCAGUGCUGUGAUUUACCAUCACUUGUGAAAACAUCCCGAUUCUCAUUUGGUCUGGUGUUGUUUUACUUUCAUAGCUUGAAAGAUGCACUGAGACAUAAAACCAGGAGGGCUUUACAUCGUGUCUAUUUUCCAAGAAGGAACCUUCCCAUGCUGCAGGAUGCAAUGUGUUCUGUGGCCUUGGGAUGCACAGAGCUGAAACUCCUCCACAGCAAGCGAUUGCCUGCAGCCCGAGCCCUUCCUGCCCUCGUGUCCAUGUGUAGCAGCCCCUGCUCUGUGCCACCAGAGACACCUGCAGGCAAGCAGCCUGUGGCUUGGCUUGGCUUGGCUUGCCAACCUGAGCUCUGUUUGAGCAGUAGGGUCACAUCCGUAGGGUGAGGAUUAAACAGGGAAGCGAGGGAAGGCAAAGCACCUGAGCACAGCAAGGCUUGUAGGACUUGUAAAGAUGGGAAAACUUCUGCUGUCUUUUUGAGGUUGAUCAGCCUCCACGAGAGCAGACAGCAUGACCCUCCGCUGGCUCAGGAAGCCGUGCUGUGCACAGAACCUUUGUGGUGGCCAGGAGGCAUGGCGUGCAGCAGGGCUGUGGUGAAGAAAACACUUACUGAACCUGGCAGCAAGCACAUAGCUUGUCUUGGUGUGCCAGCUCUGCGGAGGAGGGAACCGCUCUUCACUUUGUUCAAGAAGUUUGACCUCUUAGGGCCACACUGAAGGGGACAGCGCAAGCCAGAGGCUGGUUCCAAAAGCGGCGUGCUUUCUGUUUCAUGCUUCAACAGCAGGAUCUUACCUUUGGGAUGGCCCCAGGUCCUGGUUCCCUGUGAGCUCCUGCAAGGAUAGGAGCUGCUGCCUCACCCAGGAGCAAGUGCUUCACUGCUCCCUCCUUGAGGAAGAAGCAAGAAGCUGUCCUGGCUUUCAGAAUGCGCAGUGUCCAUUGCCUGCGCCAUACAGCAAGCUGCAAUGCAGUCAUCCAUACCCGCCAGUCAAGAGCUCUAUAAAAAUGCAGAAGCAGGCAGUGAACACGGAACUGCUGAAAAUACGUGCAAUUGCCAUGGAGAAAGGAGCAGAAAGAAUGUUAAACUCUUGAUUAACAGAACAAGUAGAUCAAGACCUUUGCCUCUGGUCUUUGACGAAACAGUAGAAGAAGUUUGGUGGAGACGUGGAAUAUAAGCCUAGGCACCUGGGAGGCACUGGGUACUCCAGGAGAGCAGUCUGGGUGCUGACACGGGUGCAAGUCAGAGCCAGGCUGGAUGUGCCUUACUUUCACCAUUUACCCCUGAGGAAGUUCCUGUUCUGAGAAGUUCAGUUGGGUGUCAGCUUCCACCCGAGUCAAUGUAAGAAACAAAGGCUGCACAGGGAUUGCUGUUCUGCUUAUCAGUCUUGUGCAGAAUUAGUUAAAAAAAAUAUAUGAAUCAUUUUUUUUUUUUCUGAAAGAAGACAUUCCCAAAGAAUGGGACGAUCUAUUUUUUGCUUUCUUUAAAACAGUUUGGUGGUGUGAAGGGAGCCGCAGUGGUGUGCGGGCCAGGGUAGUCUCAUCCUGGGGCUGUGAACUCACUUGAGGAAAAAGGAGAGCGGAAUGUCAGGAGCACCAAAGGGUCUGCGCAAUGCGGCCUCCUCCCCGCCGCCCUCCUUCCUGCCCCUCCUCUGCCUUCAUCGCCCACGGAGCGAGGCCCAGUGCUUCUAGGAAGAGCUCGGCCGAGUCAGCAGCCGCCAGUUCUGGGAAGCGCGGCCCCGGGCCCCAUGGGAUGCUUCAGGGAAUUCUUGUUGCCCUUCCAAGGAUGGCAAAGAGCUCGUCCAGUGACCUGGGGCUCCCCAGCAGCAGGGGCAAGAGCUUGGAGUCACGCCAUGGAGCUGGAAACAUUCCCGGAGGCAGAAGGGCCUGAAGAUUUAUGCCCCGCUCCAAACUGUACUACAGUACGUUGUUUGGCUUCUUGGGGGAGCAGGAGAAAGAGUUUGCUACACAGGAGAUACCAGUGGUGACCACAGGAAUUUAAAAAAGGGAUAUGGAGUUAAAAGGUCAAAAUUUCCCGCCAUCAGUCAUCGGCUCCUUGGUAGAGCGAAGAGGGUGCCAAGGGCCCAGACAGGGAUUUCUGGGCCCAGUAACCUCCCACAACCACAUGAUCUUGGAUAAAUGAGACGAGGAGCCAUAAAUCAGGGCUGAGGCUGCCUUGGGCUCCGUCCCACACGUUCCGCUCCCAUCCAUCAUUUGCCUGCUCCGCGCUCAGCCCUGCUCCAGGUUCUCUCCUCCCAAGGGAGCCAACAGGAACUUUUCUUCCGAAGCCUGCAACGCUUCUAAGGAAAGUGCUCAGCAUGACACUGACAAAUUAAUGUUAUUUCUGCUACCCAUUCGCAAGAUAAAAAUUAUUCCAACCACUGCUGGCAGCCUGGGAGGAGUGAGUUUCUCACAGCACUAUUUCAGUGCAUCUUUGCCGUGCAGUUGCUGACUUGCCCUGGGUUGGCUUCCAAUUAACAGAGGUCUGAGGGGAGCAAAUUUUGAAACGAGAUAUUGGCUUCUAAGGUACUUUAAUAAGUCUCUGUAGCAAUGCUGCAGGCUGCAGAUAGUGCCUGUUUUUUCUAUUUUUUGCAUGUGACACUCACAGAGGGGUGGCUUUCCUGGAAGGCGAGGCAUAGCAUGUCGUCUCCAGGGGCUGUUCCUUGAGUGCUGUCAGCCUUGCCCUGGAUGGAGUAGCAAGUUUUCUCUUUGCUUUCACAUGUAAUACCUUUCUAAAGGAUCAGCAAACAAACCUCUUUCUUCCAACAUAUUCAUUGUGAUUCUGCUUCUAGGCUCGGUCAGAAUUUGUGCUACUGCUUUUCUACCUUCCUCUGUUCUAUUGUUUUGGGUUUUUUUUUCAUGUAUAUUUUUCCACUGUGAAGAAACUUCCACCAAAUGACAGCUAGCAAAAUCUUUUCAGCACGACUAUGCCUGAGGGCACGUGUGUUUGGGAAGGGGCAUAUGCUGGUCUUCAGGAGCAGUGGGGGCAGCAGCUAUUCUUGCUCAUCAUGUUAAAACCUUAAUAGAUCCACAGGAUUAUGCUGCUGGAGUAGCUCUUCCAUCAAAGCCAUAGCAACUUCCUUGCUGGCUUUUAUUUUCUUUGUCUACUAGAUGUAUUCGGUUUCCAUGAGCAACUAAUUAAAAUGCAGAAGAGUAGCUCUUUAUUAAGGUUUUAUUACCAUUUAAUUUGCUUUUCAGUUUUCAGUAAGAGAUCAAAAAGCUUAGCUCUUUCCUAGAAAGCCAACAGAAGGCUGGCGGUGCUGCGCCAGGAUACUCUCCCUCUAACCACUUUACGUGCUCAGUGAAGACUAGACACAGACCCCUACAAGGGGACGACACGAUGUGGCUGAGUGCCAGGGACAAGAGCAGGACCCAAGCAUCUCCUGGUGCCAGUGAGCAUCCUUCCUGCCUGGAGCAUGGAUCCUGCACACUUCUCACUCACCUGAAGCACUGAAAUCCUGAAACCAAGCCCUGCCGAGUCCUCCCUCCCUCAACCCAUUCCCUAUGUGCACUGAUUCCUCCCUCGUGUGCUUGUAUACCCCAAGGAUGAGUGCUAGAUAGAGAAAAAUUUCUUAUCACAGCUUCUGUAGGGUCUCCUGAGUCUCUGCUGGUGUGUGUUUGACGUGGGUGCUGAUGGAAAUGUAUGCAUAUUGCAGCUGUCUUUCUGAGAUUGCCCAUAGACUCUUCCCAUGGAAGAGUCUUUCUCUCUCCUUUCUCUCCUAACAGAUUCAGUUUAUUUUCAGUUAUCCUUCAGUGGUAAACCUCGAGGGAUGGAGGAAGAGCACAUUUGUGUUGUCUAUAGGUACUUUCCUUUAAUGGAGUUAUUCCCUGGCUUUUUAGAGUGUCCUCUCUUGCCUGAACACAGCUAGGACAGCACAAGGAGCCUUUUCUUUCAUGCCUCCAGUUUUCUUUUCUUCACCAAAUAUUCAUUUUUGGAUGCACGCACAUGCUUAAAAUUAGACAGCACUCCUUGUCUUUGUGACUUGUUGCUUUGCUGCAGUGAAGAGACAGGAUGGAACUGAGGAAAGCCAAGAAAUUCUAUACCAAGUAAAGAAAAAAAAAAAAGAAAUCGUUAUUGUUUCUGUCUUUCCAUUAGUGUCACUGGCAUAAAUAGGUGCGCUCAGUUGUAUGCAACAUCAGCUGCUGCUGUUCAUGUGGGCAGAACCUGCGUUUCAGAUGGUACUUGUACAGCAAUUCACUUGUCUGCUUAUGGACUCUUGAGGAAUUCUUGGUGAAUGCAAUGUCACAUUUACUAUUUACUAAAAGGAAAGCUUCCUUUUAGGAAAGCUUGCAUA
Molecule: RNA transcript, 22229 nt
Organism: Numida meleagris (helmeted guineafowl)
Lineage: Eukaryota; Metazoa; Chordata; Aves; Galliformes; Numididae
Gene: HEMK1
Gene name: HemK methyltransferase family member 1
Exons: 14
Source: RefSeq, a predicted model, not a curated record